UGUUAGUUAGAUUACUUGCUCGUUAUUACUGCAUUGUCGGAACUAGAAGCACAAGCAUUUCGCUACACUCGCAUUAACAUCUGCUAACCAUGUGUAUGUGACAAAUAAAAUUUGAUUUGAUUUGAUUUGAAAUCUGUAAGCUUUGCAGGCCUUCAUUUUACAUGGGUGUUAAAAAAACAACUUUGAAGUCAACAAAUGUUCCAUCCUCGCGAUAACUAUCUUUCACAUGGACACUGAAAAGAUCUGCAAAUGGCUGUAUGUGGAAUGGAUCAAGGACAGGAGAGGUGUUCAGACAGAGGUGCUUAAAAGAAGGUGCACAAGUAGGCCUCAUGAAAAACAAUGCUUCAUAUGCUCUUUUUAAAUCACAGUAAUAGGCAGUGAUUUGUCAGUCACGGUGAGCUUGAUAACGUGUGUUACGGUUACAGGUAUCCUGUGUGUAUUUAUUUUCACUCCUUCUCCCCUCACAGGUGACAAUCAUCAUUCCCCAAUCAGUCACCAAACAGUCAUCAAUCAGAAGACACACCUCCUCCUGUUUCCAUUACCCAAUCACAUUCCUUUUCCCUUGGUUUAAAAACCCUGUCAGUUGUUUUCUCAAUAGUUCAAUCUCUCUGUCAUGCAAUCUCACUCUAGAGUGCUUGUUUUGUGUUUACAACUACAUAUCACUUUGUCACCACCUGUGAGUAUUGUUAUUUUGUUAUACUGUUUGUUUGUUGGUGGGAAAAGGGGGUACCAAGACAAGUCGCCCAUGGGCAUACACUACCCGUAGGUAAACGUUGUCUAAAUACACUAGUUAGAACUGGGCGGACCACCCACUGUGUUUUUGGUUAGUUAGCUGUUAUUCAAGUAGGCUAGUUUAGCUUAGGGGUGUUUUGGAUAUUUGUUUCUUUCCUUGGGUCCAGCUCAGUCCCUUUUCCUGCCCCCCUUUACCGUGUGUUCAUUUGCGGGACUUUGCAAUUCAUCUGAUCACUUCAUAACAUUCUGGAGUAUAUGCAAAUUGCCAUCAUACAAUCGGAGGCAGCAAACUGUGUGAAAAUGUAAUAUUUGUGUCAUUCUCAACUUUUGGCCACGACUGUACAUUUAUUUGCUCUGUGAGGGUUGGAUCCUAUAUGCUACUUUUAUUGUCCUGUUCAGUGCCUAUAAUUCAGGCUGUGUGUAGACUGGGGCAUGAAGGAAAUGACCUCUACUAAUAAAUUACUACUAGAUUAUAGUGAUAAGGAAAACCAUACCAAUGUGGCUUGUGUAUUCAUUUGCCUAUAACUAAUCAAAAUUCCAUUAUUUUUACAUAAAGAGAAUACUUCAAAAUGAGAAGAUCCUGCCAUGGUAAAGACUACUGGGUGGACAAAGUGUAAAGGAGGAGAAAUAACUCCCACCAUGCAGCAGGACACCUUCAGCUGGGGUCUUUAUAAUGCAGGUGUAGAUGGCCAAGGAAGUUGCACGGAACUUUCCUCCCAAAUUGAUAUGGAACCUUCAAAAACACAUUGAGCAACUGCAGAAAAUAAAUGGCUGAGGAUAUACUAAACAUGUCUGGUAAUGCCAUUUAAUUCAGAGUAAAUGUAGAUUCUUUAUUGGUGUGUGGGACAGCCAUAUGUUCAGGUCAUGCCUAUGUUUUCAGAGUUCCACAAAGCCAAGAACUGCUUCAUGUGUGCCACUGAUAAAGAACCUGGAUGUGGCCCAAAGACUGACUGGGAAUGAAGACAAAAGAGUUCAACAGAGUAAAGAACACAAACAGGAAGUGCAGUCUUUGUUGUUGAAAAUGUAUGCAUUACCCCAUCCACACUGAAGAGGCUCUGACAUGUACAUCAACCAGGGAUAAAGAGAAAGUUAACAUGGUGAAUUGUUUCAUACUGAACUUCAAUUAAGUGUCUGACAUGUUGGAAAAGAUUAAAGGUC
This is a long non-coding RNA of Oncorhynchus tshawytscha (Chinook salmon), 1890 nucleotides long. Lineage: Eukaryota; Metazoa; Chordata; Actinopteri; Salmoniformes; Salmonidae. The record is from Ensembl.